AUGGAAGUAAAGUUGAGAAGUGUAUCAAAAAUCAACCUCCACUAUCGAAGGAUGACCCCACCUCAUCCCUAUCGAAGAUUGCUCGCGCAAGUCGCACCCGACCCGCGCUCCGCCGGGCGUCGUACAAGCCUCGAGCUCGCCCACGCCGGAUCAGAGCACCGUCGACCUCCCUGCGCUGCGCACCACCGUUGGCCGCACUUUACCUGUGCUCCUUCGCCGCUGUCCCCACCUGGCCACCUCAACCUCACCCGCGCCGGAACCGGCACCACUGCCCCUCCCCGAGAUCCACGGCUGGUCGGUGCAUAUGCCCAGAUUGGGAAGAGGAGGCGGAGGCUGCAGAGGGAAGUCGAGCAUCGCACUGGGGCUCGCAGCGGUGCAACAUUGUCAGGACAGAGCAGCAGGGCAUUGGGGCGGCGACGGGAAGGCGUAUAUGCUCCGGGAGGCGGAGCAGCGGCAGACAAGAAUCCUAUCGCAGGGCGCUUGAGAUGA
RNAcentral lists this ribosomal RNA (489 nucleotides) under Triticum aestivum (bread wheat). RNAcentral describes it as "partial small subunit ribosomal RNA". The record is from RNAcentral. Lineage: Eukaryota; Viridiplantae; Streptophyta; Magnoliopsida; Poales; Poaceae.